Molecule: long non-coding RNA, 7062 nt
Filed under: Homo sapiens (human)
Lineage: Eukaryota; Metazoa; Chordata; Mammalia; Primates; Hominidae
Description: HSALNT0161167
Source: RNAcentral
GAGGACUCGGAUUUAAGAGUUGACAUCUUAAUAAUACUCUUUAUUGGUGGAGUACAGAAAGUUUUAUUGACCAGGCUAAAAAAUCUAUAAUAUGAAUACCAUCAUAUUUUCCACGUACACUGUUGUAAUGUAACAGUUCUAAAACCAUUCUAAGCUCUUUCAAGUAAGGAUGCUAUAUAAAUACAGAUUGGUAAUAUUAUUACAGUCCCCCAUUUCUUUCCCACCACUGACAGUUUCUUGGACAAGUAUUCACAUUUAUCUUCCACUAGCACCCAAACUCCCAAGAAAUGAGAAAGAAAAAAAUCAAGUGCUUGGAGAAUUGACCAUUGUCUAUAACUUUACUGUUAUCACAUGCUGCUAAUUUCAGGAGGGUAAACAAAGUAGAAUAAAACAAAACAACAGUUGAUGGAUGGAAUGUACUCAGAUUCAAAAUGCUUGACAUCCCAUGUAAUGAGCCACUUCUGGCAGUAUAGUGCCUGAAUUCUUGGAUUCAGAAAUUACAUUACUUUAGAAGGAUGCCAUAGAUUCAUUUUGAUUACAUAAUUUACUGAGCAAAGGAGUACUCUUGAUACUUUAAAAAUAUUAUUGGAUUUCAUGAGUGGUUGUUAUACUUCAUUAAUGCAAGUUAUGUCCUAUGCCAUAAUUACAUCAUGCUAUGCCUAUUUUAUUAAGUCAAUUCUAGAUGGCAGGAAUGGUUUCAAUUUAACUAAGCUUUUUAGAGCACGUGCUUCAUCAGGUCUUUUAUACUUUCCAGCCUUUGUUUAUAUCUGAAUUUCAUUGCAUUCAAUCUUUGUUGUAAGCGGGUCUAAUGAAUGUAUAUAUAUGCAUAUUUUUCUCCCCCAUUUCACUCUUAUUCAUUUAAUUAGUUCAGAUGAUCCCUGACUUAUGAUGGUUUGACUUAACAAUUUUUCAGUUUUGCAAUGGGCUUAUUAGGACAUAACCCCAUCAUAAGUUGAAGAUCAUCUGGACUUACAAUGGUUCAACUUACAAUUUUUUGGCUUUGUGCUGGGUUUAUUGGGGCAUUAAAUGUGUCUUCAACUUAUGCUAUUUUCAACCUAGGGUGGGUUGAAAUUGGGACAUUGCCCCAUUGCAAGUUGAGAAGCACCUGCCUUUGUUGAAAAGGUACUAAGUAAGCAGCACUGUGCGAGCUGCCCUGGGGUCUUCUAUGGUUUGGAUAUGUUCCCCAUAAAGCAUGUGUUGGAAACUUAAUCUCCCAUGCAACAGUGUUGAGAGAUGGGACCUUUAAAAGGUGGUUAGGUCAAGGGUUUAGUCCUCAUGCAUGCAUUAAUGCCAUUAUCUUGCAAGUGGGUUAGUUACUGCAGGAGAGGGUUAGUUAUUGUGGGAAUGGGCUCCUGAUGAAAGGAGAAUAACAUUGGCCUCCUCUCUUUCUUGCACACACAUGCUGUUUCGCCCUUCCACCUUCUGCCAUGAGAUGACACAGCAAGAAGGCCCUCGCCAGAUGUGGGCCCCUUGACCUUGGACUUCCCAGCUUCCAGAACUGUAAGAAAUAAAUAUCUGUUCUUUAUAAAUUACCCAGUCCCAGUUAUUCCAUUAUGGCUGCACAAAAUUAACUAAGACAGGGUCCUACCUUGUGCAUACCCUUCCCCACCACCAAUCUGCGUUUCUGGCUGUUAGCUCAUUUCUGUCCUGCUGUCCUCUAACUUUGUGGCUAGACUUGGAUACAUAUCUAAGAUUGAUUCCCUUUGUCCAUCCUUGGUAACUUAGAGGCCAUUGUCACUUUGACUUGGAAACUAAUGGUAGCCUUGUAGUUCCCUUUUCCAUCUCCCUUCAGGUCCAACUCACAUGCAAGUCACUGAUCCCUCUUUUCUCACAUAUCUCCCUUCUGUGCCUGACUUCCCGUAUCACUGUCACCUGUGACCCACACCCUCAUUUCACUUGAGAAUUACUCAAUGGCCUCCUAGUUGAUGUCUGCUUCUUGUCCUUCCUGUCUCCAAUCCAAUCCACUAGCACAGUCAGAUUCGUCUUUCUAAAAAUCUGCUCUGAUUAUGAUACUCUCCUUCUCAGGAAUCUUCAAUGGCUCCCAUGUGUCCAGAAAAUAAUCUACAUCCCUUGUGAUAUGGUUUGGGUGUGUCCCCACCCAAAUCUCACUUUCAACUGUAGUUCCCAUAAUCCUCACAUGUCAUGAGAGGGACCUGGUGGGAGGUAAUUGAACCAUGGGGUGAUGGUUUUAUAAGGGGCUUUUCCCCCUUUGCUUGGCUCCCAUUCUCUCUCCUGCCACCCUGUGAAGAGGUGCCUUCUGCCAUGAUUGUAUGUUUCCUGAUGCCUCCCCAGCCAUGCUGUAUGAGUCAAUUAAACCUCUUUCCUUUACAAAUUACCCAGUCUUGGUUAUGUCUUUAUUAGCAGCGUGAGAACAGACUAAUAUAUCUUGGCAUAGAAGUCAGAAUUCACUGGGGUAGGACCCUUAAGCUGCUUUUUCAGCUUUUCUCCUACCUCUCCUCCUACUGUCAACUCCCAUUUUUGCCCCACCACCUCUGCUUCCGUUGCACACUGCCACUCCCCAACUCCUCCACAUGACAGAUCCACUUUCUGCUUCCUCUGCGCAGUCUUGCUCAAGUGCUAUCUUCUUCAUAAUUGCUGUUUUCUGAAGUUUCUAAUCAGGAGUGAGUGUUUCCCUCUGGGUUCCUAUAACACAUAUGUUAUGGUUUGAAUAUUGUCCCCUCUAAAUCUCAUGUUGAAAUGUAAUUCCCAGUAUGAACCCUGAAUAUCUGAGACAGGGUCAAUGUAGAAAGCUUAUUUUGCCAAGGCUAAGGAUGCAUACCCGUGACUCAGCCUCAAGAGGUUCUGAUGACAUGUGCCCAAGGAGGCUGGGGCACAGCUAGGUUUUAUACAUUGUAGGGAGACAUGAGACAUCAAACAAUAUGUGUAAGAUGAAGAAUGGUUUGGUCCCAAAAGGAGAGACAACUGGAAGCAAAUAUGAGACAACUCGAAGCGGGGAGGGGGCUUCCAGGUCAUAGGUAGGUAAGAGACAAAUGGCUGCAUUAUUUUAAGUUUCUGAUUAGCCUCUCCAAAGGAGGCAAUCAGAUAGCAUUUAUCUCAGUGAGCAGAGGGAUGACUUUGAAUAGAAUGGGAGGCAGGUUUGCCCUAAGCGGGUCCCAGCUUGACUUUCCCUUUAGCUUAGUGAUUUUUGGAAUGCCAAGAUUUAUUUUCCUUUCACAGCAGUGUUGGAGGUGGAGCCUGGUGGGAGGGUGGUUUGUUGGGGGUGGGGGGGGGUGGGGCAGAUUUUUCAUGAAUGGUUGUGUGUCAUCCCCUUCGUGCUGACCUCAUGAUAGUGAAUUAUUUCUCAAGAGAUCUGGUAGCUUAACAUUGUGUGGCAACUUGCCCGCUUUUUCUCUUGCUCCCGCUGUAGCCAUGGGACAAGCUUGCUCCCUCUUUGCCUUCCACCAUAAUUGUAGGCUUCCCGAGGCCCUCACCAGAAGCUGAGCAGAUGCUGGGGCCAUGCUUCCUGGACAGCCUGCAGAACUGUUUCCCAUGCUGUGUUGCAGAGACAAUGCUCACUUUGGGGUGAGUAUCCGUUACAGAUGGCCAUGCCUUUUCAUCAUCAUCAGGAUGUAGCGAUAAAGUGGCCCUUCUCAGGCACACUGCCAGGAAACCUACAGUUCUCCUCGUAAUGGAGCAGUCUUCACAGCACUGUUCGUGUGACCCUCCUAUGACAGUCAUGGCAGGAAAGGAAAGCAGAAAGCUUCUGCAGUACUCAGCUGGGUCAAGGUAGAACUUCAAAGACCAAGCAGAAAGCUUCUGCAGUACUCAGCUGGGUCAAGGUAGAACUUCAAAGACCAAGCAGAAAGCUUCUGCAGUACUCAGCUGGGUCAAGGUAGAACUUCAAAGACCAAGCAGAAAGCUUCUGCAGUACUCAGCUGGGUCAAAGACCAGCUGCACUGGAGAAGAUGGCCCUGUUCACCCUGUGGAACAGCCUGGAGGUCAUGGCUACAAACCUACCUUCUCGUAGCAGAGACAUGACACUAGGUCAGACGGCUAGUUCUGCGAGAAAUAAAAAUGACAGUUGGACAUUUGGUAUCCUAUAGAACGAGUAUCUGUUUACUGAAUUUUUACGCUAUCAUCUGGUGGUUUUGGCAUUACUGGGAUGCAAUUUUAGUUUUUUUGUGUGCAGAGAAUAGCCACUUGUUUGGGUUUCUGAGGUCAUUUCUCACAUUUCUGCUCCAGAAAUGAGUGCAUUCCAUAAAUAUAUUUUUACUGCAAAGUCUAAUUUGCUUGCUUUCUUAAUGUGAGCCCAUCUCCUUUCUAAAAUCCUGGUUUUCUCAAAAAUGCUAGUUAGUUGCUGUCUUCUUACUAAUGUUGACAACAUCUUAUCAUCAAAUACUUACUUUGUAUUCUGUCCAGCCCUGUCCCUGGCAUAUAAUAAAUAUUUUAGAGGCUCUUUCUACUGCAGUUUCUUCCAAAAUUCCAUUUAUUUGAGGUUGAUGAGCUUCCUUUUUCUUUUUGUUUUUUGGUUUGUUUGUUUUUUGUAGAGACAUGGUCUCGCUUUGUCACCCAGGCUGGAGUGCAGUGGUGUGAUCAUAGCUCACUGUAGCCUCAAACUCCUGGGCACAAGCGACCCUCCAGCCUCAGCCUCCCAAGUAGCUGGGACUACAGGUCCACUGCCACACCCAGAUAAUCUUUAAAAUUUUUUUAGAGAUGGAGUCUUGUUAUGUUGCCCAGGCUAGUCUUGAACUCCUGGUCUCAGGUGAUUCUCCCACCUUGGCCUCCUGAGUAGCUGGGAUUACAGAUGAGAGCCACUACACCCGGCUUGAGGAGCUUCAUGAUAAAAAGAUGCCAUGGAGUGGCUCCUGUGCCUGUGUCCCAGGAGCCACUGCGUGGCCUGGCUUCAAGAUCAGGCCAGAAAAACUGGUUUAUUCUUGCAGUGGCUCACAUAUUCUCCAUGGAACCAACUCAGUCAGCUCUUGUAGGUUGAACCGUCUUGCCCAAAAGAUACGUUGAAGUUUUAACCUCAGUGUCUGUGAACGUGACCUUCAUUGGAAGUACAGUCUUUGCAGAUGUAAUGUAGCUAAGAUGAGGUUAUGCUGGGGAGGACACCCAAAUAACUGGUGCCCUUAUACGAAGAGGAAAAGAGAAACGCAGACAUGCAUGGAGAGAAGGCCAUGUGAAGGCAGAGGCGGAAUGAGAGUCAUUAAUAUAAGCUAGGGGCACCUAGGAUUGCUGGACACCGCCAGAAGCUGGAGGGGAAAGGAAGGAUUCUCCCCUAGAGCAUUCAGAGGGAGCACAGCAUGGCAGACACUUUAAUUUUGGACUUCUGGCCUCCAGAACUAGGUCCACAACCCAGAUCUGAUGUCAAAAGCAUUGGGUAGCUUUUGCAAAACAUUUUGCCGAUAUGGAAACCAGCAGGAGUCCACGCUGGCUCCAGCAUGACCGAUAGCUCCAUCAGUGUUAUUUGAUGAGCAGAAUGUAGGUGACGUGUUGGCCUAUGGGGCUGUGUUAUGUGUUAUGGGGCUAUGAUAGUCUGCAUAAACCUAAGAAUUUCUUAAAAGUCUGUUAGAUAUUCAAGGUUAGCAUAUCGGCCGUAAGGCUAGGUUAAACAAUAGUGGUGAGCAGCUCCUGCCUGUCAGUUUAAAAAAAACAAGGCGUAUUUCCUGUCCAUGCGCUUGAUAAUUUUCUUGUCUGCAUUUUUGUCUCUCCAGAACCCAGUAUAAAAGAACAACCACCAGGUAAAAGAAAAAAAAAAUUGCUGGUUAUUGGGGCAAAAGGAAAGAAGAGAGGGUGACAAGUUUCACUCUGACUCUUGCUGCUUCCAUCUGAAAGAGGUGCAUCAGCACUCCCCCUUCCUUUACUGGCCAGAGCCACACCCCACUUUAGGAGGGCAAGCAAUUGCAAUCUUACAGUCCUUAGAAGAAAAAUCCAGAUAGCACUAAUGACUUUCACAGGUAUAAAUAAUGCAGAUCGGCAACUCUGGACAGCCAGUGGAGGUGAUGGCAAAACUCCAGACAGCCUUUUCUAAUUUCUCCUAAGUGAGUGAGUGAGUGGUGCCUGUGUGUACACGCAAGUAAAGAGCUAAGGUUGAAACAGGUAACUCCAAGGACAGCAAAAAAGCAAUGCCCUUCUCCAUCCCCAUCCCUCCAAUAAACCUCUUAUGUAUCCAGGUACUUAACCACAAUAGAACUGUUUAAUUUAUGUUCUAAGAACCCCACUGUCAGCCUGAAAAUGAGCUGUGGACAGCUUCUGGAUAUCACAGCAGAGCUUUUCUAAGUUAGAGAGAUGGCAAGCAGAAUUGAACUGUCUUAUUCCAGGAGGCGGGAAGGCAGCUGUCCGCUUAGGACACCAGCAGGAAGCAUGGUGGCGUGGUGAGAAACGGAAGGGUUUUCUGGUAGGAAAGCAAUUCCCACCCUCUGGGCCUCUAAUAUUAUGUAAUGAUUUUAUCUGUUGUGGAAGGACUUCAGGGAAAUGAGUAUAUUUCUUCGCUCUUCACCCAGAGGGUAAUCCUUAAGAAGAGAGUGAUCAUUUUUAAUACAUCUUCCCAGAUCUACCAAUCUUUUGCAUGAUGAUUGCUUUAUUGAGAUUGCAAACUGUUCUUGCAUCAGGGCAGACACGUCAGCUGCUGCCUCCCAUGCAGCCAGGAAGAAAUUGACAGUCUGCACUUCCUCGGGUUAGCUUCCCAUUAAUUAAGGCUUCACACAGAACUGACCUCUUCCUUUGGUUAUUCACAUGGAUUUUUGUGAAUCAUGCUGUUUACAAAUAAGGCUAAAUCUAAAUGCCAUGCUUACAUCUGACUGUCCAAAUCCAGGCCUAUUUUUAAUUGCUGGCUGCAGUGAAAGAGAGAAUUCGUGGGCAGAGACGGCAAGAGUAAUGAAAUGGAAGAGGUCUACAAUUCAGUUUCCUAUAAAAUAACUUCAAGAGCUAUAUCAACUUCCCUUGGCUAACUGAAGGUUCUGGAAUUCAAAUGUCUGAAAUGGAUUAACUAUGAAUUUGCCUGUGUUCCUAGCCAUUUCCUCAAAUUCAAGCUUUUACUUUCAGAAUGUCAACAAGAGCAGCUUAUCUUGUGCAAAAUCUGAGAUUCCUUACUUAGGUUGAUGAAGAUGGGGAAAAAUAAAG